Long non-coding RNA from Alexandromys fortis (reed vole), 935 nucleotides. RefSeq lists it as uncharacterized. The transcript is spliced from 3 exons. Lineage: Eukaryota; Metazoa; Chordata; Mammalia; Rodentia; Cricetidae. The record is from RefSeq and is a predicted model, not a curated record.
CUGAAACACCCACAACAGACCUAGACAUUUAUGCUGCUGGAAAUGUGUGAGGUCCCCAAUUGAAAUCCGAAGACUCAAAGUAACACUGAAGACAAUGAGUUAUGGAGUGGAGACUUUAUAAAUGCAGUUUCUAAGAAGAUUUUGCAAAGAGGAAAGCCAAGGAACUGUGUUACCACUGGAAAGUCCAAGUGAACUGCAAUGAGAGUAAAGACUAUUUCAUUGAAGGGGUCCAGUCUUCUUCUGUGGAUACAAUGCGCUUUACGAGAAGAAGAAAGUUCCAUCUGGAGGUGUGGAUCCAUGUGUCAGAAAAAGCUCUUGAAGUAAAUAAGAAGGGAUGCAGGAAAACUGUAUCACUUCUUUUACAUGCAAAGGGAAAGUUCUGUAAUUAAUCACUAAGUACCUUCUUUUCCACAAACAGUCCCAUUGUUUUAUCCAUGAGGAAGUCUUGUUCUGGGCUCAGUCGCUCGACUGCUUGCUCCGCAUGCAUGAAGCCUCAGGUUUGCAGAGCAUGGCAUAGCAUGGGUCUACUGGUACAUGCCUGUAUCCCUAGCACUGCUAGUACAUGCCUGUAAUCCCAGCACCCAGGAGAGGUAGUCAGGAGAAUCAAAAAUUCAAGGUCAUGAUGUGGGAGUGUCAUAUAUCAAUCUGUUGGUUUCAUUGGUUAAGCAAUAAAGAAACUCCUUGGCCCUGAAAGGUUAAAACAUAGGUGGGAGGAGUAAACAGAAUAGGAUGCUGGGAGGAAGAGGAAGUGAGCACAGACUCGACAGCUCUGCUCUCUGGAGCAGAGAUGCCAGGCUGGCUCCGCUCUCCCAGGCAGCUCCAACCCAGGAUGGAUGUAGGCUAGAAUCUUCCCGGUAAGCACACCUUGGGGUGCUUACACACAUUAUUAGAAAUGGGCUAGUCCAGGUGCGAGAAUUAGCCUAGAAGAGGCUAGA